UACAGAGGGUGCAAGCGUUGUUCGGAAUCAUUGGGCGUAAAGCGCACGUAGGCGGCUUUGCAAGUCGGAUGUGAAAUCCCUCGGCUCAACCAAGGAAGUGCAUCCGAAACUGCAGAGCUUGAGUACCAAAGAGGAUCGCGGAAUUCCCGGUGUAGAGGUGAAAUUCGUAGAUAUCGGGAGGAACACCAGUGGCGAAGGCGGCGAUCUGGGUGGAUACUGACGCUGAGGUGCGAAAGCGUGGGGAGCAAACAGG
This 253-nucleotide ribosomal RNA is filed under the name uncultured bacterium. RNAcentral's name for it is "partial 16S ribosomal RNA". It matches the Rfam family "Bacterial small subunit ribosomal RNA", at positions 524 to 776 of the family's 1533-position model. The record is from RNAcentral.